Molecule: ribosomal RNA, 490 nt
Filed under: uncultured bacterium
Lineage: Bacteria
Description: partial 16S ribosomal RNA
Rfam family: Bacterial small subunit ribosomal RNA
Source: RNAcentral
AUUGAACGCUGGCGGCAGGCCUAACACAUGCAAGUCGAACGGUAACAGGAAGAAGCUUGCUUCUUUGCUGACGAGUGGCGGACGGGUGAGUAAUGUCUGGGAAACUGCCUGAUGGAGGGGGAUAACUACUGGAAACGGUAGCUAAUACCGCAUAACGUCGCAAGACCAAAGAGGGGGACCUUCGGGCCUCUUGCCAUCGGAUGUUCCCAGAUGGGAUUAGCUAGUAGGUGGGGUAACGGCUCACCUAGGCGACGAUCCCUAGCUGGUCUGAGAGGAUGACCAGCCACACUGGAACUGAGACACGGUCCAGACUCCUACGGGAGGCAGCAGUGGGGAAUAUUGCACAAUGGGCGCAAGCCUGAUGCAGCCAUGCCGCGUGUAUGAAGAAGGCCUUCGGGUUGCAAAGUACUUUCAGCGGGGAGGAAGGGAGUAAAGUUAAUACCCUUGCUCAUUGACGUUACCCGCAGAAGAAGCACCGGCUAACUCCGUG